UACGAAGGGUGCAAGCGUUGUUCGGAUUUAUUGGGCGUAAAGCGCGCGCAGGCGGACAGAAAAGUCAGAUGUGAAAUCUCGGGGCUCAACCCCGAAACUGCGUCUGAAACUCUUUGUCUUGAGUGAUAUAGGGGGAAGGGGAAUUUCACGUGUAGGGGUAAAAUCCGUAGAGAUGUGAAGGAACACCUGGGGCGAAGGCGCCUUCCUGGAUAUUUACUGACGCUGAGGCGCGAAAGCGUGGGGAGCAAACAGG
Molecule: ribosomal RNA, 253 nt
Filed under: uncultured bacterium
Lineage: Bacteria
Description: partial 16S ribosomal RNA
Rfam family: Bacterial small subunit ribosomal RNA
Source: RNAcentral